Molecule: long non-coding RNA, 1021 nt
Organism: Salvia miltiorrhiza (redroot sage)
Lineage: Eukaryota; Viridiplantae; Streptophyta; Magnoliopsida; Lamiales; Lamiaceae
Exons: 6
Source: RefSeq, a predicted model, not a curated record
AUAACCCCCCACUAAUUUUUUUUUUAACUAUGUUAUAUUCUAAAAUUCAAAAGAAAUAAAAUUGUUCAUCUCAUGCCCUAAGUACAAUUUUCUCUCCCUCUCACUCCUCAGCGGAAGUGAAAAAUGAAGAAGCCACGGAUCGACGCCUGCAAUUGGUGAGGAGUGUAUCCGAUUGGGAGCGAAACGACGAAGCAGUUCAAGAGUGGGAGGGAAUUCAGUGAGAGACUGUGGCGAUUCGUUUGCCCGGGGUUGAGGGACAGGCGGACAGCGACGAGGCGUGGGCGAAUCCGGGUAAGGAUCAGAAGAUAUCGGGUUUGGGUUGCGGUCCGACAAUUUUAAUCGUCUUUGCAGCCGACCCACCAGAAACCCCUUGCAAUAUCUACAGUGUUUCAGAGCCCUCGAUUACACUUCAAUGUUUCUUUUGCCGUGUACAGGGGUCCUAGAAGAUUAAUUAGUUUCUUGAUACUUUGUUGGCUUGAAUAAGGCUUGCAGCUUUGGAUGUCUUAAAUUGAAGAUUGAAAAAAUUUAUAUCGAGAUUGGCAUGGGGUUAUCUAAAUGGAUAAUGGUUUUGUUGAACCUUAGUUGAAAGGAAGAUCCUGAACUCCAAUCCCACCUCUUGAAUCUUGAUGUCAUAUCUAACAGGCCUCCAACAAACAAGCUUGAUGGAGUACAUCCAAAAGUGCAUGUACCACUUAUGUUUGGGAAAAGGGCUAUAUGAGGAGUUGGAAUGGCUAUAAAACAACACUGCAAAAAGGUACAAAAGUUAUCAAAAUAUCAAAUUCUUGUAGUCAAGAUUGUAACCAAGUUUCUCACCAGAGAAAUUUGGAGAGUGCCAUCUGUUGCCGACAACCUACUCUAAUUUUCUUUUCUUUUGGAGAUAGUUGAUAGGAUUUAGAGCUAUUUUUCUAGCAGAUAAGAUAACAUCUAUUGGUUUAAUUCUUCUAGUUUAUUUAUCAUUUAUAAUUGUAACAGAAUUUGACUUGAUGUUUGAAAUGAUUAUAAUAUUAAUGUUUUAGGUAAA